AAGGUAUAACAGACAACAGCUUGAUAUUCAAGAGGAAAGUCCGAGCUGCAGUGAAGCAAGGCUUCAUUUAACGAAUGACUGGAGUAAUCCAAGGGAUAGUGCAACAGAAAGGAAACAGCCACUUAUGUGGUGAUGGUGAAAGGGUAGUGUAAGAGACUACCAGACUUUUGAGCAAUCUUAAGUGCUAUGUAAACCCAGCUUGCAGCAAAAACGAUAUGGUAUAAGCUUCACAUUUUUGUCGUUUGCAUGAGUUUUAAAGUGAUUUAAAACCUUAGAUAAAUUGUUGUCAAAUACAAAACUCGGCUUAUAGUUAUACCUUUUUU
RNAcentral lists this RNase P RNA (323 nucleotides) under Aliarcobacter butzleri. RNAcentral describes it as "RNase P RNA component class A". It matches the Rfam family "Bacterial RNase P class A". From Rfam's summary of the family: Ribonuclease P (RNase P) is a ubiquitous endoribonuclease, found in archaea, bacteria and eukarya as well as chloroplasts and mitochondria. The record is from RNAcentral. RNAcentral also lists the same sequence under 1 other name. Lineage: Bacteria; Pseudomonadati; Campylobacterota; Epsilonproteobacteria; Campylobacterales; Arcobacteraceae.